UUGCAUCAUAAACAAUAACUGAGUAUUGUUCUGAGAUCUGUCACUCGGUCACUUUCUAACCACAGUGCAGUUCUGGUUGUCUCUAAACAACGCCAGUGUGAAGUGCUUUUACACUUUGUGUGCGUCUCUCGCUUGUGUCUAUUUAAGUCAGGUAGGACCUUCAAGCAAAUACAGCAGGAUGUUGUCAAUCGUUGCAGAAUGUAAAUCCUUUUUAUAAUAUCAAGGCCAAAACUAUAUUCUUUCCAGGGUUGGCAAUAGGUGGAUUUACUGUGUUGAAAACAGAUAUUUUUUUAUCCAUAUUACCAGUUAAAUGGACUGAGAACUGAGAAUGUUCAUGGCAACAACCUAUGGAACAAUUAGGGUGAAUUGCUUUGCUCAGGGAUUGAACAGCAGUGCAAACUGUAUAUUAAAUCAAUCAAACUUUCAGUUCCUUUUUAGAUUUUCACAGAGUUGACCAUAAAGCAAAAUGUUCUUUGUCAUUGAAGUGGCAUACAAAGCAGCACAUUUAUAUAAAUAUAUAGUAUUUUGUGUAUUUAAAUCUAUUUAGUAGGUGGAGUUGACAUGUUAUGGUGAUGCCCAAGGUGGGUGGAGUUGACAAGUUAUGGUGGUGCCCAAGGUGGAUGGAUUUGACAUGUUAAGGUGGUGACCCAGAUAGAUGGAGUUGACAUGUUAUGGUGGUGACCAAGAUAGAUGGAUUUGACAUGUCAUGGUGGUGACCAAGAUAGAUGGAGUUGACAUGUUAUGGUGGUGCCCAAGGUGGAUGGAGUUGACAUGUUAUGGUGGUGACCAAGGUAGAUGGAGUUGACAUGUUAUGGUGGUGCCCAAGGUGGAUGGAGUUGACAUGUUAUGGUGGUGCCCAAGGUAGAUGGAGUUGACAUGUUAUGGUGGUGACCAAGGUAGAUGGAGUUGACAUGUUAUGGUGACCAGGGUGACCUGAAUAUUGUUUGAUUAAAUUCAUUAUAGUUAUACUUGUUAAACUACAUAUGAUGAUGACAUGAGGAACAGGUUCUGAUGAUUUGGUUAGACCUGCUCAUUCCUGAUUGGAUUAGGAUGUUGUACAAAUCUGAAGGAUAUGAUUAGAUCUGUGUAAUGAUUUAAAAGAGAAAUACUGCGUAAAGUCACAGUGCUUUUGCAGGAUGGUACAAAGUAAAGUCCUUUUUCAGUUCAGUUUUGAGUUCAUAACUACCUCUUUGAAGCAUUUGAUGUAAAUAUCCUUCUCUCAGCACAACUGUUAGGAAUACUUUCGAGCCAACUUAAUAAAUACUAUUAAAUAAGUACUAUUAAAACAUCUAUAAAAUUCCAGAAAAUAAAAUGUUUCCCUAAACAGUUAUUACAUUAUCAAUUACUGUAUUCUGCUACUUAAAAAAUAUAUAUUCCAAAGAUAAAAAUAAAGUUUCCCUCUCGUGCAAAGAAUUGUUAUAGGUUAAAGGGUUAUUGUUCAUGAUGAAAAAAGGCUCAGCAGAUCAGUCCAGUAAGGGCGUGGCCAAGGAGGAAGCUCAGCGGAUCAGUCCAGUAAGGGCGUGGCCAAGGAGGAAGCUCAGCGGAUCAGUCCAGUAAGGGCGUGGCCAAGGAGGAAGCUCAGCAGAUCAGUCCAGUAAGGGCGGGGCCAGGGAGGAAGCUCAGCAGAUCAGUCCAGUAAGGGCGGGGCCAGGGAGGAAGCUCAGCAGAUCAGUCCAGUAAGGGCGGGGCCAGGGAGGACGCUCAGCAGAUCAGUCCAGUAAGGGCGGGGCCAAGGAGGAAAUACC
This is a long non-coding RNA of Esox lucius (northern pike), 1745 nucleotides long. The record is from Ensembl. Lineage: Eukaryota; Metazoa; Chordata; Actinopteri; Esociformes; Esocidae.